GAAUGAUGUUGAGGCUAUCAUUACGGAGCAAAUACUUCCUAGGAUGGCGCCCAUGUUUCCUGUUAGUUGCAACCAUCCAAAGGCCAUGCCUCGGGUGCUCUCUUCUGUGGAGUCUGCAACAAGGGACUGAAUUGCAGAAAUAAUGAAGAAGAAAAAAGUCAACGCCAUCAACAAACCCACAAAAAUUUCAGAAGUAGUACUAUUAUAAUUAAACUAAACAGCAAUUAAGGAGGGUAAAGAGGAAGACCUGGAAGAAGGUGGAGGAGAAGGCGACAAGAAAGGUGGCAGCAGCCCAAAGAUACGCACCAAUAGCGAUGACAAAGGUUCGAUCAUGGCGGGUGGCAAGGUAAGCAGCAAGAGGGUAGCAAGAAGACUGAACUAUGCAUCUGAAGAGUGUGAGGGAACCAAGACCUGUGGGAUCAAUAUUAAGGGCUGCUCCCACUUCUUUGUAUACACCUGGGAGUAAUGACUCGUCUGCUCUUUCUAGUAUUCCUGCUAUAUUUACAAGCAGAAGUGUUACUGUCUCUGGACUCAUUUCUUCUUUUCCUCUUUUGCCAGGGGAGGAAGAAUACGUUUUCCUGUUUUAUUGUCUUUUUUUUUUAAAAAAAUUUACAGCAAUUCUACUGUCUGUAACAAGUAAGACUGUAACGAGGGCUGCCAAUUGCCAACUCGACAGGAUGUUGCGAGCAUCCAGAGAAAUUACAGGGGUAUUUCGGGUUUAUUGGGGUUGCAGUAUGAAAAAUCACUAUUAUGGUCCUUCUGGCUUUGGUAGGAGCACGGAAUAUCUUCUUCCCAAGUUGGAGUCAUAGGCCCUAGACAACAUAAAGUUGCCUUUUUUUUUUUGUGUUAUUUAUAUAUAUAUUGCAGUAACAGAAAGAACAGAAAUCGCGUUGAAUUGAAGUUACUUACUCCCAAAAAUCCGGUACUUAAACCGAAAUUAAGCAUUAGUUUAAUUGACAUAGAACCAGUGGUGUAUAAAAUAAAGCAUUGUAUCUGAAAAAAGAGCUCAUUGCCUCAUGCUGUCAUUCAGCGGAUUAUAACUCUAGUAGUCCAGUACUAUUACUAAACUGGAUGAUCGCGUUAACACGUGAAAAUAUUCCAUAUUGCUUGUUUAGGAGCCUAGGGAUGGUUAAUGACUUAAUGUUAAUUGUUUUCUAUAAGCAGAUUAAGCUGUACGUUUGUUUAUUUGCUCAUCUAUGUUUUCUAACAAGAUAAAGCUUAAAGCUUGAACAGAUCUUACAUAUGUAUAUUUGGCCGACAGGUUUUUUAUAAAUAGUAAAAUAAUAUUAUUAUUUUUAUAACAAAAAAGUGAAAUAUUAUAUCGCA
Spinacia oleracea (spinach) is the source of this 1326-nucleotide long non-coding RNA. RefSeq lists it as uncharacterized. The transcript is spliced from 2 exons. The record is from RefSeq and is a predicted model, not a curated record. NCBI's taxonomy places the organism in Eukaryota, Viridiplantae, Streptophyta, Magnoliopsida, Caryophyllales, Amaranthaceae.